Molecule: ribosomal RNA, 253 nt
Filed under: uncultured bacterium
Lineage: Bacteria
Description: partial 16S ribosomal RNA
Rfam family: Bacterial small subunit ribosomal RNA
Source: RNAcentral
UACAGAGGUCUCAAGCGUUGUUCGGGUUCAUUGGGCGUAAAGGGUGUGUAGGUGGCGCGCUAAGUCGGGUGUGAAAUUUCGGAGCUUAACUCCGAAACUGCAUUCGAUACUGGCGUGCUUGAGGACUGGAGAGGAGACUGGAAUUUACGGUGUAGCAGUGAAAUGCGUAGAUAUCGUAAGGAAGACCAGUGGCGAAGGCGGGUCUCUGGACAGUUCCUGACACUGAGACACGAAGGCCAGGGGAGCAAACGGG